Molecule: unclassified non-coding RNA, 249 nt
Filed under: Hevea brasiliensis (rubber tree)
Lineage: Eukaryota; Viridiplantae; Streptophyta; Magnoliopsida; Malpighiales; Euphorbiaceae
Source: RNAcentral
AGAAGGGGUGGGGACAAUUCUAACAGUUUCAAGCACAGAUGUAUUUGUUUCUGUGAGACUCAAAUGUCACCAUUUCAAUUCAUAUUAACUGAUCACCACCAGAAGAUCCUCAAUGUUAUUAGCUUGAUACCACAUAACUUUUAAAUAUGGCCCUGAGAAUUAGGACAAAGUAUACUAUAACAGAAGCAGAAGCAGAAGAGUUUUUGAAAUGUAGCAGGUCAAACAUAAAGACUUCUACACCAGACAAAG